AAGGUGAACCAGAUUGUUCCUACUACAUCAGGACUGGUCUCUGUAGGUUUGGAUCAACUUGCCGAUUUAACCAUCCUCCUAAUAGGAAACUGGUAAGGCACUGUAGUCCACUUAUUUCAUGUAGCAUAUGUCCCUCUAUGACGAAACCUUAUGUAUUUGUUCUCUUGGUAAGGCACUGUAGUCCACUUAUUUCAUAUAGCAUAUGUCCUUAUACGACGAAACCUUAUGUAUUUGUUCUCUGUAGUAUAUGACGUUCUUUCCAUUUUAGGAUUUAAAAUGUUUGACAUUAUUCAACUACUACAACAACUUUCACUACUUUUAGGAAUUCAAAUUGUUAAACUAUUCAGAUUUUCCACUGUUAUCUCCCC
This 368-nucleotide long non-coding RNA is filed under the name Nicotiana benthamiana. RNAcentral describes it as "long non-coding RNA (NBEN_LNC020958)". The record is from RNAcentral. Lineage: Eukaryota; Viridiplantae; Streptophyta; Magnoliopsida; Solanales; Solanaceae.